AUACGGAGGGUGCAAGCGUUAACCGGAAUUACUGGGCGUAAAGCGUACGUAGGCGGUUAUUUAAGUCAGAUGUGAAAGCCCCGGGCUUAACUUGGGAACUGCAUUUGAAACUGGGUAACUAGAGUUUAGUAGAGGGGAGUGGAAUUUCAGGUGUAGCGGUGAAAUGCGUAGAGAUCUGAAGGAACACCAGUGGCGAAGGCGACUCCCUGGACUAGAACUGACGCUGAGGUACGAAAGCGUGGGUAGCAAACAGGAUUAGAAACCCCAGUAGUCC
This 274-nucleotide ribosomal RNA is filed under the name uncultured bacterium. RNAcentral's name for it is "partial 16S ribosomal RNA". It matches the Rfam family "Bacterial small subunit ribosomal RNA", at positions 523 to 796 of the family's 1533-position model. The record is from RNAcentral.